Molecule: ribosomal RNA, 425 nt
Filed under: uncultured bacterium
Lineage: Bacteria
Description: bacterial SSU rRNA
Rfam family: Bacterial small subunit ribosomal RNA
Source: RNAcentral
GUGGGGAAUAUUGGACAAUGGGCGAAAGCCUGAUCCAGCCAUGCCGCGUGAGUGAUGAAGGCCCUAGGGUUGUAAAGCUCUUUUACCUGGGAAGAUAAUGACUGUACCAGGAGAAUAAGCCCCGGCUAACUUCGUGCCAGCAGCCGCGGUAAUACGAAGGGGGCUAGCGUUGUUCGGAAUCACUGGGCGUAAAGCGCACGUAGGCGGAUCUUUAAGUCAGAGGUGAAAUCCCGGAGCUCAACUUCGGAACUGCCUUUGAUACUGGGGAUCUCGAGUCCGGGAGAGGUGAGUGGAACUGCGAGUGUAGAGGUGAAAUUCGUAGAUAUUCGCAAGAACACCAGUGGCGAAGGCGGCUCACUGGCCCGGUACUGACGCUGAGGUGCGAAAGCGUGGGGAGCAAACAGGAUUAGAAACCCUUGUAGUCC